GACGAACGCUGGCGGCGUGCUUAACACAUGCAAGUCGAACGGAAAGGCCCCUUCGGGGGUCCUCGAGUGGCGAACGGGUGAGUAACACGUGAGUAACCUGCCCUUGACUUCGGGAUAACUUCAGGAAACUGGGGCUAAUACCGGAUAGGAAUCCUUGCUGCAUGGUGGGGGUUGGAAAGCUUCGGCGGUUUUGGAUGGACUCGCGGCUUAUCGGCUUGUUGGUGGGGGAGUGGCUUACCAAGGCUUUGACGGGUAGCCGGCCUGGGAGGGAGACGGGCCACAUUGGGACUGAGAGACGGACAAGACUCCUACGGGAGGCAGAAGUGGGGAAUAUUGAACAAGGGGAGGAAGCCAGAUGCAGCAACGCCGCGGGCGGGAUGACGGCCUUCGGGUUGGAAACCGAUUUCAGCAGGGGCGAAGCUUGUGGUGACGGUACCUGCAGAAGAAGCACCGGCUAACUACGUG
Molecule: ribosomal RNA, 465 nt
Filed under: uncultured bacterium
Lineage: Bacteria
Description: partial 16S ribosomal RNA
Rfam family: Bacterial small subunit ribosomal RNA
Source: RNAcentral